RNAcentral lists this long non-coding RNA (656 nucleotides) under Anser cygnoides (Swan goose). RNAcentral describes it as "lncRNA (ENSACDG00005003524.1)". The record is from RNAcentral. Lineage: Eukaryota; Metazoa; Chordata; Aves; Anseriformes; Anatidae.
CAAAAAACAGGACUCUGAUCUUUGCUUGAUGUUCCAAAAAUCUGUCUCAUCUGGAUUCCCAUGGGUCAAUCAGUUUCCCUUUUUGCUGGUUCUUCUAAUUUAGGCACAGUUUUAUUUGCCCAGUUUGUGCAUGUAGCAGAAUGAGAGUUUACAGUAAACCCAACCUGCCAGUGAGCAAAUAGAUAUAGAAAUACAGAUUCACAUGGAUACAUGCUUCUCACCAGAUCCUUUCAACUCAUCAUGGCUUCUCAGGGACAGACAGAGAAACCUGCAGAGAAAUGGCUUAGCACAUGCACACACUUUUCCAGACACACAAUGAGCAAUGACCAGAGGACAUCACUUUUACCAGCACUCACGAGUUACGUAUAGUACUAUAGUUAUUGGACAAUUCAUGAAGUGCAGACAAUAUGCUUAGUGAUGGACCCACUUUCGUUAUUAGGCUGGAAAAACAUCUGCUUCUAACAUCCCAACCCUUUUGUUUCAUGGUUACCAAGGCACCUUGCACAGAAGACAAUAGCAGGCUGGCCACCUCUGCCCAGCUUCCCCAGCAGCCUACACAGUGCAUCACCACAUCUGACUGGGACAUGGACAGGAGAGAUACUGCCCUCUCUGUCCCACAGAACUGUAUUUCCAGUGGACUAACACAGAAGUCAUAG